AGAGUUUGAUCCUGGCUCAGAUUGAACGCUGGCGGAAUGCUUUACACAUGCAAGUCGAGCGGCAGCGCGGGGCAACCUGGCGGCGAGCGGCGAACGGGUGAGUAAUGCAUCGGAACGUGUCCACGUCGUGGGGGAUAGCCCGGCGAAAGCCGGAUUAAUACCGCAUACGCCCGAGAGGGGAAAGUGGGGGACCGCAAGGCCUCACGCGAUUGGGUCGGCCGAUGUCCGAUUAGCUAGUUGGCGGGGUAAAGGCCCACCAAGGCGAUGAUCGGUAGCUGGUCUGAGAGGAUGAUCAGCCACACCGGAACUGAGACACGGUCCGGACUCCUACGGGAGGCAGCAGUGGGGAAUCUUGCGCAAUGGGCGAAAGCCUGACGCAGCAACGCCGCGUGGAGGAUGAAGGCCUUUGGGUUGUAAACUCCUGUCGGCUGGGAAGAAAUCGUACGGUGCUCAUACCACCGUGCGUUGACUGUACCAGCAAAGGAAGCCCCGGCUAACUCUGUGCCAGCAGCCGCGGUAAUACAGAGGGGGCCAGCGUUAUUCGGAAUUAUUGGGCGUAAAGGGCGCGUAGGCGGCCAUGCGUGUC
This 586-nucleotide ribosomal RNA is filed under the name uncultured bacterium. RNAcentral describes it as "bacterial SSU rRNA". It matches the Rfam family "Bacterial small subunit ribosomal RNA", at positions 8 to 589 of the family's 1533-position model. The record is from RNAcentral.